AAAGAUUUUUGCUUGCUGUCAAACACACCAGUUAACUGAGGCUUUUAGAUCCCAACUCUGAACAAGGGUCUAUGUUAAACAUCAAAAUCCUUGGAGGAUCACCAGGAAGAACAUAAGGAGGAUACAAUACUUUGAUGUACUUUUGUGGGUGAUAGGGGGAACAACAGUCUGCUCUUUGAAGAGCAGAGAGACUUCACAGUCUGUAUUUGUAUUUAUUUUCCAGCAGGAUUUCCAAUGCACCCAAGACCAAAUGUCCACAUUCCUCCUCUGCCAAGAAGAUGCCACAGAGCUCUCCCUUGUCAUGCACCACCAGAAGGAAAAGCUGCUUUGCCACCAAGGUGAGGCCAUCAGAAACACCUGGGUGCAUCCCUGGGGUUUAAAAAGAUUCAGCUGGGUAUAAUCAGUCUCACCCGGGGCUG
This 419-nucleotide long non-coding RNA is filed under the name Zonotrichia albicollis (white-throated sparrow). RNAcentral describes it as "lncRNA (ENSZALG00000008834.1)". Lineage: Eukaryota; Metazoa; Chordata; Aves; Passeriformes; Passerellidae. The record is from RNAcentral.